This 373-nucleotide ribosomal RNA is filed under the name Schaalia hyovaginalis. RNAcentral describes it as "bacterial SSU rRNA". It matches the Rfam family "Bacterial small subunit ribosomal RNA", at positions 52 to 419 of the family's 1533-position model. The record is from RNAcentral. Lineage: Bacteria; Bacillati; Actinomycetota; Actinomycetes; Actinomycetales; Actinomycetaceae.
CACAUGCAAGUCGAACGCACGGCCUUGAGGGUUUUCUUGGGGUUGGUGAGUGGCGAACGGGUGAGUAACACGUGAGUAACCUGCCCCCUUCUUUGGGAUAACGGUCGGAAACGGCUGCUAAUACUGGAUAUUCACACAUUGUCGCAUGGUGGUGUGUGGAAAGCUUUUGUGGUGGGGGAUGGGCUCGCGGCCUAUCAGCUUGUUGGUGGGGUGAUGGCUUACCAAGGCUUUGACGGGUAACCGGCCUGAGAGGGUGACCGGUCACAUUGGGACUGAGAUACGGCCCAGACUCCUACGGGAGGCAGCAGUGGGGAAUUUUGCACAAUGGACGCAAGUCUGAUGCAGCGACGCCGCGUGAGGGAUGGAGGCCUUC